CCAAAGCUCCUCAUCUGAGCACUGCGGCUCUAUCGGCAGCAACAUCUCUCUCAGUGAGGGACGUUUCUUAUUAAUCAGGACCACUGAAUGGAAACCAAUCAGAUAGACAGUCCCUUUGGCUUCAUCUCCCUGCCUGCCUGAGUUAAAAGCGAUACUGGGAGAGAGGCUGCCUUAGUUAGAUAUAAGCACACACAGCGCUGGAUAUAGUGCUAGACGGAAGGGAGGAAGCAGGUAGAGAAGCAGCGCUGGAUGGGCAGAGCCGGGCUCACGCUGCCAGACACGAAUACUCUUUCACCUGUCCGGAUAGAAACUACAACCCUUUUCUGUCCGUCGUCUUUGUUUUUACUGAAAACAUCUAAUUAUAACAAACUCAGUUAAGAAGAAUGAAAAAUGAAGAGGUGUUUAGUACCAGUAAAAAUGAAGUAAUGAUGCUUUAUUUUUCUUUAGUUGUGGUAAUGGAAUGAUAUUUAUUUAAUGUGAUGGGUGAAGUGAAAGCUCAGGGCUCAGAAUGAUUGAGAUCUGAGGCAGAUGUUCCUCUGAAUGUUCAGAGCAGUAAGUCAAAGUCAACAGGCUCAAAGUAUAAGGCUGUUUUCCAGAAGCACUACCAAUAAUGCCAGUCCAGUGUUUGUAAACAGAGACUAGGAGAAAAAACAAGGCAGAAAGCAUAAAAGGCCAAACUGACCACCUGAUUUUGAAGUAAUCAGCAGAGAGCAACUGCCUGGUGAAUGACAUUUUACUUUUUUUUUUCCACAUGCAAGAGACACGCAGUCACUUCCACUCAAUUUCACUGUCAGAUGAGCUUCAGACAAAGAAUGAUGCAUAAGAAUCAUAAAGAAAUCCGUAUCCCCCUGUAACUAUAUGGUAACAUGCAUAGUGUAGUAGCCACUCACCAUCUCACAGACAGGUUUAAGUAGCAGGUGAGAACAGCAAAAUGAUAGUUUGGUUCGGAUACUUUCCAUAUGCAGGAGUAAGAUUUGUAAUCAAUGUAUCAGUCUCACUCUGAUUAAGUCAGUGACAAACCUAAUAUUUUACUUAAAUCACAGCAAGUUCGUGCUCCACUGUUGAGUACUAAACUAGUUUCUUAUGAUUAGAGAAAAGAUGGAUAAAAAGGCAAAUGUAAUACUUGUAAUAGUUUUGCUAAUGGGAUCAAAUGUCUUUUUUAAUAAAUAAUAUUGGUGAUAAGACUUGCUAAUGUUAGCUCUACAACUAUCAGUGGUUCCAAGUCAUUUUGCGCAGCUACAAUUUUCUUCCAAAAAAUGAGAAUGGACUAAUUAAAUAUUUAGGUGUCUCAUCACAUUUUUUUUCUAUGAUUACUAUGAAUUCUAUAGGAUUGUGUUAGUUUGUAAUGUAGGCAUAUUGCUAACUAUAUGUGAAUUUUAUAGAUAAAGUGCAUCAUCCC
This 1399-nucleotide long non-coding RNA is filed under the name Gallus gallus (chicken). The record is from RNAcentral. Lineage: Eukaryota; Metazoa; Chordata; Aves; Galliformes; Phasianidae.